Molecule: ribosomal RNA, 495 nt
Filed under: uncultured bacterium
Lineage: Bacteria
Description: partial 16S ribosomal RNA
Rfam family: Bacterial small subunit ribosomal RNA
Source: RNAcentral
GACGAACGCUGGCGGCGUGCCUAAUACAUGCAAGUAGAACGCUGAAGGAGGAGCUUGCUUCUCUGGAUGAGUUGCGAACGGGUGAGUAACGCGUAGGUAACCUGCCUGGUAGCGGGGGAUAACUAUUGGAAACGAUAGCUAAUACCGCAUAAGGGUAGAUGUCGCAUGACAUUUGCUUAAAAGGUGCAAUUGCAUCACUACCAGAUGGACCUGCGUUGUAUUAGCUAGUUGGUGAGGUAACGGCUCACCAAGGCAACGAUACAUAGUCGACCUGAGAGGGGGGGCGGCCAGAAUGGGACUGAGACCCGGCCCAGAGGAAAACGGGAGGGAGCAGUAGGGAAUCUUAGGGAAGGGACGGAAGUCUGAACGGGCAAGGCCGAGGGAGUGAAGAAGGGUUUCGGAUCGUAAAGCUCGGUUGUACGGGAAGAACGAGUGUGAGAGUGGAAAGUUCACACUGUGACGGUAGCUUAACAGAAAGGGACGGCUAACUACGUG